UACGGGGGGGGCAAGCGUUGUUCGGAAUUACUGGGCGUAAAGGGUUUGUAGGUGGCUUGUUAAGUCAGACGUGAAAUCCCUCAGCUUAACUGGGGAACUGCGUCUGAUACUGGCGAGCUUGAGUGCAGGAGAGGAACGCGGAAUUCCAGGUGUAGCGGUGAAAUGCGUAGAUAUCGAGAGGAACACCUGCGGCGAAGGCGGGUUGCUGGGCUGACACUGACGCUGAUGCGCGAAAGCUAGGGGAGCAAACGGG
Molecule: ribosomal RNA, 253 nt
Filed under: uncultured bacterium
Lineage: Bacteria
Description: partial 16S ribosomal RNA
Rfam family: Bacterial small subunit ribosomal RNA
Source: RNAcentral